CCCUUAGAUGUCCUGGGCUGCACGCGCGCUACACUGAUGUGUCCAGUAAGCACCUAACCUCUUCCGAAAGGAACGGGUAACCUUUGCAAAGCACAUCGUGAUGGGGAUAGAUUAUUGCAAUUAUUAGUCUUGAACGAGGAAUUCCUAGUAAGCACAAGUCAUCAGCUUGUGUUGAUUACGUCCCUGCCCUUUGUACACACCGCCCGUCGCUCCUACCGAUUGAAUGUUCCGGUGAGCUCUUCGGACUGCGCGGUCUGCAGUUUCUGCGUUCCGUGCGGAAAGUUGCGCAAACCUUAGCAUUUAGAGGAAGGAGAAGUCGUAACA
This 324-nucleotide ribosomal RNA is filed under the name uncultured eukaryote. RNAcentral's name for it is "partial 18S ribosomal RNA". It matches the Rfam family "Eukaryotic small subunit ribosomal RNA", at positions 1470 to 1796 of the family's 1831-position model. The record is from RNAcentral.